Molecule: unclassified non-coding RNA, 87 nt
Filed under: Pseudomonas sp. NFR02
Lineage: Bacteria; Pseudomonadati; Pseudomonadota; Gammaproteobacteria; Pseudomonadales; Pseudomonadaceae
Source: RNAcentral
UGUGGGAGCUGGCUUGCCUGCGAUGCAAGCGCCUCGGUGUGUCAGUGACACCGAGGUGAUGCUAUCGCAGGCAAGCCAGCUCCCACA